CCUACGGGAGGCAGCAGUGAGGAAUAUUGGUCAAUGGCCGGAAGGCUGAACCAGCCAUGCCGCGUGAAGGUCAGUGCCCUAUGGGCGUUAAACUUCUUUUUUGCAGGAGCAAUAAUGGUCACGUGUGGCCAGACGAGAGUACCGUACGAAUAAGCAUUGGCUAACUCCGUGCCAGCAGCCGUGGUAAUAAGGGGGAUGCAAGCGUUAUCCGGAUUUAUUGGGUUUAAAGGGUGCGUAGGCGGGGAGGUAAGUCAGCGGUGAAAUGCCCCCGGUCAACGGGGUGAAGUGCCAUUGAUACUGGCUGGCUGGAAUGCGGAUGCGGUGGGAGGAAUGUGUGGUGUAGCGGUGAAAUGCAUAGAUAUCACACAGAACACCGAUUGCGAAGGCAUCUCACGAAUCCGCGAUUGACGCUGAUGCACGAAAGCGUGGGUAUCAAACAGGAUUAGAUACCCCAGUAGUC
RNAcentral lists this ribosomal RNA (460 nucleotides) under uncultured bacterium. RNAcentral describes it as "partial 16S ribosomal RNA". It matches the Rfam family "Bacterial small subunit ribosomal RNA", at positions 338 to 795 of the family's 1533-position model. The record is from RNAcentral.